This 305-nucleotide ribosomal RNA is filed under the name uncultured bacterium. Its description in RNAcentral is "bacterial SSU rRNA". It matches the Rfam family "Bacterial small subunit ribosomal RNA", at positions 338 to 660 of the family's 1533-position model. The record is from RNAcentral.
CCUACGGGGCGCAGCAGUCGGGAAUAUUGCGCAAUGGAGGAAACUCUGACGCAGUGACGCCGCGUAUAGGAAGAAGGUUUUCGGAUUGUAAACUAUUGUCGAUAGGGAAGAAAAAAGACUGUACCUAUCAAGAAAGCUCCGGCUAACUACGUGCCAACAGCCGCGGUAAUACGUAGGGAGCAAGCGUUAUCCGGAUUUAUUGGGUUUAAAGGGUGCGUAGGCGGUCCGUUAAGUCAGCGGUAAAAUUGCGGGGCUCAACCCCGUCGAGCCGUUGAAACUGGCAGACUUGAGUUGGCGAGAAGUAC